This 466-nucleotide ribosomal RNA is filed under the name uncultured bacterium. RNAcentral describes it as "partial 16S ribosomal RNA". It matches the Rfam family "Bacterial small subunit ribosomal RNA", at positions 28 to 507 of the family's 1533-position model. The record is from RNAcentral.
GACGAACGCUGGCGGCGUGCUUAACACAUGCAAGUCGAACGGAAAGGCCCUGCUUUUGUGGGGUGCUCGAGUGGCGAACGGGUGAGUAACACGUGAGUAACCUGCCCUUGACUUUGGGAUAACUUCAGGAAACUGGGGCUAAUACCGGAUAGGAGCUCCUGCUGCAUGGUGGGGGUUGGAAAGUUUCGGCGGUUGGGGAUGGACUCGCGGCUUAUCAGCUUGUUGGUGGGGUAGUGGCUUACCAAGGCUUUGACGGGUAGCCGGCCUGAGAGGGUGACCGGCCACAUUGGGACUGGGAUACGGCCCAGACUCCUACGGGAGGCAGCAGUGGGGAAUAUUGCACAAUGGGCGGAAGCCUGAUGCAGCAACGCCGCGUGCGAUGACGGCCUUCGGGUUGUAAACCGCUUUCGCCUGUGACGAAGCGUGAGUGACGGUAAUGGGUAAAGAAGCACCGGCUAACUACGUG